Molecule: long non-coding RNA, 633 nt
Organism: Calidris pugnax (ruff)
Lineage: Eukaryota; Metazoa; Chordata; Aves; Charadriiformes; Scolopacidae
Exons: 3
Source: RefSeq, a predicted model, not a curated record
GGGCCCGCGCUCCCCUCAGAGAGGCCGCCACCACAGCACCGCCCGCCGCGGCCUCCCCACGCAGGCCCCGCUCGGUGCCCAGCGCAGGCCCGGCAGCCCGGGUACGGCCCAGGGUGAAAGCCGGGAAGCGAAGCCGGGACUCACUCGGGCAGUUGAUGCUGCUGAAUAAUUCACCAGCAGCACUGGUACUUCUCUGUGGUGCCGUGCUCGGUUUGGAGAGGAGCUCCCAUCAGGAUCUCCAGACCUGCACCAGGUUGUUCUUCAGUGCUUUGGCCAGCUGCGUGCCAGGACGCUGGCUCAGAAACCCCAAACACCUACAAGACCAGCACGAAAGCGAGUGAGAAUGCGACAGCAAAAUCUGCCUGCGGAUGAAAAACUCGUUCAGCAGCCUUGAAGGCUGCACGUCAACCGGGUAUUUCGGAAGCGCGGAGAGGGGGGGAGGCAGCAAGCAUUUCAUCCCAAGAUGCCUUCCCAGGAGAGGGGUUCGCGGUGUUUUCGCUGGUGUCAAAGCCACGGCGCAACAAACCCCCUGCGUGAGGCACAAUCAACCCCACCUCCCCCUGCUAACCAAGCUUUUUGAAGUUCGUGGCCUUCCCGUGGCAUUUCAUACUUCACUUAUCCAAACUUAUCCAU